GCUGGGCAUGGUGGUGUGUGCCUGUAAUCCCAGCUACUCAGGAGGCUGAGGCAGAAGAAUCACUUGAACCCAGGAGGCAGAGGUUGCAGUGAGCUGAGAUUGCACCAUUGCACUCCAGCCUGGGCAACAGAGUGAGACUCUGUCUCAA
Molecule: non-coding RNA, 148 nt
Filed under: Pan troglodytes (chimpanzee)
Lineage: Eukaryota; Metazoa; Chordata; Mammalia; Primates; Hominidae
Source: Rfam by way of RNAcentral